This 362-nucleotide ribosomal RNA is filed under the name uncultured bacterium. Its description in RNAcentral is "partial 16S ribosomal RNA". It matches the Rfam family "Bacterial small subunit ribosomal RNA", at positions 338 to 697 of the family's 1533-position model. The record is from RNAcentral.
CCUACGGAAGGCUGCAGUGAGGAAUCUUGCUCAAUGGACGCAAGUCUGAACCAGCCAUGCCGCGUGCAUGAUGACGGCUCUAUGAUUUGUAAACUGCUUUUGUACGAGGGUACACCCCGAUACGUGUCUCGGGUUGAAAGUAUCGUACGAAUAAGGAUCGGCUAACCCCGCGCCAGCCGCCGCGGGAAUACGGAGGAUCCGAGCGUUACCCGGAUUUAUUGGGUUUAAAGGGUGCGUAGGCGGUUGGAUAAGUUAGAGGUGAAGUGACGGGGCUCAACCGCAGAACUGCCUCUAAUACUGUGGGACUAGAGAAUAGUUGCGGUAGGCGGAAUGUAUGGUGUAGCGGUGAAAUGCUUAGAGAU